UACACACCGCCCGUCACACCAUAGGAGUUGAUUGCACCAGAAGUAGGUAGCCUAACCGCAAGGGGGCGCUUACCACGGUGUGGUCAAUGACUGGGGUG
This 98-nucleotide ribosomal RNA is filed under the name uncultured bacterium. RNAcentral's name for it is "partial 16S ribosomal RNA". It matches the Rfam family "Bacterial small subunit ribosomal RNA", at positions 1384 to 1482 of the family's 1533-position model. The record is from RNAcentral.